AACUGUGCUGCUGCUCAUGUUGUGUCUGCAGGCUUUCCUGCUCACCACAACCUUCACAUCUGCUGAUGCAUCCACUCCGCUGAAGUAUAAACAGUCUUCUGAUCUGGUUAAUGUGGAAAAACGAACUUCAGAGAACAGAGAUACAGAUUCCGCCGAGCCAGGAGAAUAUGCCUUCCCGGUUGAGGGAACCAUUAAUGCUCACCAGAGAAAGGAGAGAAGACAAAACUCAAAAAAAAAAAAAAAA
Molecule: long non-coding RNA, 244 nt
Organism: Seriola dumerili (greater amberjack)
Lineage: Eukaryota; Metazoa; Chordata; Actinopteri; Carangiformes; Carangidae
Exons: 3
Source: RefSeq, a predicted model, not a curated record